GUGGGGAUGUGGCUCAAGUGGUAUCGUGCUCGCCUGGCACGCGCGAGACACUGGGUUCAAUCCUCAGCACCACA
RNAcentral lists this transfer RNA (74 nucleotides) under Marmota monax (woodchuck). RNAcentral describes it as "tRNA.Ala". Lineage: Eukaryota; Metazoa; Chordata; Mammalia; Rodentia; Sciuridae. The record is from RNAcentral.